CCUACGGGCGGCAGCAGUGGGGAAUAUUGGACAAUGGGGGCAACCCUGAUCCAGCCAUGCCGCGUGUGUGAAGAAGGCCCUCGGGUUGUAAAGCACUUUCAGUGAGGAAGAACGCCUGGUGGUUAAUACCCAUCAGGAAAGACAUCACUCACAGAAGAAGCACCGGCUAACUCCGUGCCAGCAGCCGCGGUAAUACGGAGGGUGCGAGCGUUAAUCGGAAUUACUGGGCGUAAAGCGCGCGUAGGGGGCUUGAUAAGCCGGUUGUGAAAGCCCCGGGCUCAACCUGGGAACGGCAUCCGGAACUGUCAAGCUAGAGUGCAGGAGAGGAAGGUAGAAUUCCCGGUGUAGCGGUGAAAUGCGUAGAGAUCGGGAGGAAUACCAGUGGCGAAGGCGGCCUUCUGGACUGACACUGACACUGAGGUGCGAAAGCGUGGGUAGCAAACAGGAUUAGAUACCCUAGUAGUC
This 465-nucleotide ribosomal RNA is filed under the name Vreelandella stevensii. Its description in RNAcentral is "partial 16S ribosomal RNA". It matches the Rfam family "Bacterial small subunit ribosomal RNA", at positions 338 to 795 of the family's 1533-position model. The record is from RNAcentral. Lineage: Bacteria; Pseudomonadati; Pseudomonadota; Gammaproteobacteria; Oceanospirillales; Halomonadaceae.